This 1501-nucleotide ribosomal RNA is filed under the name Salmonella enterica. RNAcentral describes it as "partial 23S ribosomal RNA". It matches the Rfam family "Bacterial large subunit ribosomal RNA", at positions 1446 to 2925 of the family's 2925-position model. Lineage: Bacteria; Pseudomonadati; Pseudomonadota; Gammaproteobacteria; Enterobacterales; Enterobacteriaceae. The record is from RNAcentral.
UGGUGUUACUGCGAAGGGGGGACGGAGAAGGCUAUGUUGGCCGGGCGACGGUUGUCCCGGUUUAAGCGUGUAGGUGUGUGUUCCAGGUAAAUCCGGUUCACUUUAACACUGAGGCGUGACGACGAGGCACUACGGUGCUGAAGCAACAAAUGCCCUGCUUCCAGGAAAAGCCUCUAAGCAUCAGGUAACAUCAAAUCGUACCCCAAACCGACACAGGUGGUCAGGUAGAGAAUACCAAGGCGCUUGAGAGAACUCGGGUGAAGGAACUAGGCAAAAUGGUGCCGUAACUUCGGGAGAAGGCACGCUGACACGUAGGUGAAGUGAUUUACUCAUGGAGCUGAAGUCAGUCGAAGAUACCAGCUGGCUGCAACUGUUUAUUAAAAACACAGCACUGUGCAAACACGAAAGUGGACGUAUACGGUGUGACGCCUGCCCGGUGCCGGAAGGUUAAUUGAUGGGGUCAGCGCAAGCGAAGCUCCUGAUCGAAGCCCCGGUAAACGGCGGCCGUAACUAUAACGGUCCUAAGGUAGCGAAAUUCCUUGUCGGGUAAGUUCCGACCUGCACGAAUGGCGUAAUGAUGGCCAGGCUGUCUCCACCCGAGACUCAGUGAAAUUGAACUCGCUGUGAAGAUGCAGUGUACCCGCGGCAAGACGGAAAGACCCCGUGAACCUUUACUAUAGCUUGACACUGAACAUUGAGCCUUGAUGUGUAGGAUAGGUGGGAGGCUUUGAAGUGUGGACGCCAGUCUGCAUGGAGCCGACCUUGAAAUACCACCCUUUAAUGUUUGAUGUUCUAACGUGGACCCGUAAUCCGGGUUGCGGACAGUGUCUGGUGGGUAGUUUGACUGGGGCGGUCUCCUCCUAAAGAGUAACGGAGGAGCACGAAGGUUGGCUAAUCCUGGUCGGACAUCAGGAGGUUAGUGCAAUGGCAUAAGCCAGCUUGACUGCGAGCGUGACGGCGCGAGCAGGUGCGAAAGCAGGUCAUAGUGAUCCGGUGGUUCUGAAUGGAAGGGCCAUCGCUCAACGGAUAAAAGGUACUCCGGGGAUAACAGGCUGAUACCGCCCAAGAGUUCAUAUCGACGGCGGUGUUUGGCACCUCGAUGUCGGCUCAUCACAUCCUGGGGCUGAAGUAGGUCCCAAGGGUAUGGCUGUUCGCCAUUUAAAGUGGUACGCGAGCUGGGUUUAGAACGUCGUGAGACAGUUCGGUCCCUAUCUGCCGUGGGCGCUGGAGAACUGAGGGGGGCUGCUCCUAGUACGAGAGGACCGGAGUGGACGCAUCACUGGUGUUCGGGUUGUCAUGCCAAUGGCACUGCCCGGUAGCUAAAUGCGGAAGAGAUAAGUGCUGAAAGCAUCUAAGCACGAAACUUGCCCCGAGAUGAGUUCUCCCUGAGACUUAGAGUCUCCUGAAGGAACGUUGAAGACGACGACGUUGAUAGGCCGGGUGUGUAAGCGCAGCGAUGCGUUGAGCUAACCGGUACUAAUGAACCGUGAGGCUUAACCUU